AACGCACCUUGCGCUCCUUGGUAUUCCGAGGAGCAUGCCUGUUUGAGUGUCAUUAAAUUCUCAACCUCACCCAUUUUGUUAUGAAGUGGUUUGUGUAGGCUUGGAUGUGGAGGCGUUGCAGGUCCGGCUUGUCUGGUCUGCUCCUCUGAAAUGUAUUAGUGGGUUGUGCCCCUCAUCUAUUGGUGUGAUAAUUAUCUACGCCGUGGAUCAGUGUUGGCAACAAUUGAAAGACCCGCUUCUAACCGUCCGACUCGGACAAUCUUGACAUUUUUGACCUCAAAUCAGGUAAGACUACCCGCUGAACUUAA
Molecule: unclassified non-coding RNA, 308 nt
Filed under: uncultured fungus
Lineage: Eukaryota; Fungi
Description: partial contains 5.8S rRNA and ITS2
Rfam family: 5.8S ribosomal RNA (bases 1-52)
Source: RNAcentral